AUGGCUCACGAUGCACCAAGCAACAAUAUUAUCAGGGAUGUUGUAGCGCAAGGAAGUGAUCAACGUGAUUAUCAUGCUGUACAUGAUGAAAACCCAUCACUCAUGGGCCCUCUUAGGAGCAUAUCAGAAAACAUAGAGCGGGUUGAGAAUGAAUACUCAGAUGAAGAGGACGACCCGCUGCCAGGCGUGGAAGGGCUAAGAAUCACCGGUGAAGCUUUUCCUGGAGGAGAACUUCAAUGGGUACGCCAUUUGGAAGAUGGAUCGCAGAAGUUCAUAGAAGGUGCACGGCAGCCCAUAUAUCUAGUUACCGCGGAUGAUGUGGACACUAUACUAGCCGUUGAGGUCCAGCCACUAGAUGACCGAGAAAGAAAGGGGGGCAUCGUUAAGGUUUAUGCUAAUGAGGAAAGAAAAAUUCCUUGCGAUCCUGAAACAAAGGAGCUUAUCAAGCAAACCCUUUCAGUUGGCCAUGUGUCUUAUGAAGUCCUUCUGCCGGCGGUUCCGGUCUUAGAAACGUGGGAACCUGCUGUAUUGGCAGUAACGAGGAAAGGUUACAGCAUUAAGUGCAACGGACAGCGUGGUGUUGUUGCUACAGAGACAUUCCAGCAAUACAUGGCUAUCAGUAUCCCAUGUGGGCGUCCUACUGAAUUUUCACUUCAGUCUGCUGAUGGUGAUGAGUAUAGUCUCAAGCCUGCAGAAAAUUCCCAAUCACGAGAUACUAUUGUUCUAAUACUGAGGGCGUUCAGGAUGCAGGUACAUGAUGAAAUGAAAUGCAGGCUAUUGAGAAGAUUAGAGCGAAGAUUGGGCGCCUCCAAGUUGGAGUAG
Molecule: ribosomal RNA, 822 nt
Filed under: Triticum aestivum (bread wheat)
Lineage: Eukaryota; Viridiplantae; Streptophyta; Magnoliopsida; Poales; Poaceae
Description: partial small subunit ribosomal RNA
Source: RNAcentral